AGAUUGAACGCUGGCGGCAGGCCUAACACAUGCAAGUCGAGCGGUAGAGAGGUGCUUGCACCUCUUGAGAGCGGCGGACGGGUGAGUAAUGCCUAGGAAUCUGCCUAGUGGUGGGGGAUAACGUUCGGAAACGGACGCUAAUACCGCAUACGUCCUACGGGAGAAAGCGGGGGACCUUCGGGCCUCGCGCCAUUAGAUGAGCCUAGGUCGGAUUAGCUAGUUGGUGAGGUAAUGGCUCACCAAGGCGACGAUCCGUAACUGGUCUGAGAGGAUGAUCAGUCACACUGGAACUGAGACACGGUCCAGACUCCUACGAGGCGA
This 321-nucleotide ribosomal RNA is filed under the name uncultured soil bacterium. Its description in RNAcentral is "bacterial SSU rRNA". It matches the Rfam family "Bacterial small subunit ribosomal RNA", at positions 26 to 348 of the family's 1533-position model. The record is from RNAcentral.